This 492-nucleotide ribosomal RNA is filed under the name uncultured bacterium. RNAcentral's name for it is "partial 16S ribosomal RNA". It matches the Rfam family "Bacterial small subunit ribosomal RNA", at positions 29 to 507 of the family's 1533-position model. The record is from RNAcentral.
AGUGAACGCUGGCGGUAGGCCUAACACAUGCAAGUCGAACGGCAGCACAGUAAGAGCUUGCUCUUACGGGUGGCGAGUGGCGGACGGGUGAGGAAUACAUCGGAAUCUACUUUUUCGUGGGGGAUAACGUAGGGAAACUUACGCUAAUACCGCAUACGACCUACGGGUGAAGGCAGGGGAUCUUCGGACCUUGCGCGAUUGAAUGAGCCGAUGUCGGAUUAGCUAGUUGGCGGGGUAAAGGCCCACCAAGGCGACGAUCCGUAGCUGGUCUGAGAGGAUGAUCAGCCACACUGGAACUGAGACACGGUCCAGACUCCUACGGGAGGCAGCAGUGGGGAAUAUUGGACAAUGGGCGCAAGCCUGAUCCAGCCAUACCGCGUGGGUGAAGAAGGCCUUCGGGUUGUAAAGCCCUUUUGUUGGGAAAGAAAAGCAGCAGGUUAAUACCCCGCUGUUCUGACGGUACCCAAAGAAUAAGCACCGGCUAACUUCGCG